This 96-nucleotide signal recognition particle RNA is filed under the name Nannocystis bainbridge. RNAcentral describes it as "signal recognition particle sRNA small type". It matches the Rfam family "Bacterial small signal recognition particle RNA". Rfam says of the family: The signal recognition particle (SRP) is a universally conserved ribonucleoprotein involved in the co-translational targeting of proteins to membranes. Lineage: Bacteria; Pseudomonadati; Myxococcota; Nannocystales; Nannocystaceae. The record is from RNAcentral.
ACUUAUGCCCCGAGCGACGGCUCUCUCGUAAACCCCGCCAGGACCGGAAGGUAGCAACGGUAGCGAGAGAACGGGUGUUCGGGGCGCUUUUUAUUG